RNAcentral lists this ribosomal RNA (253 nucleotides) under uncultured bacterium. RNAcentral's name for it is "partial 16S ribosomal RNA". It matches the Rfam family "Bacterial small subunit ribosomal RNA", at positions 524 to 776 of the family's 1533-position model. The record is from RNAcentral.
UACGGAGGGUGCAAGCGUUAUCCGGAUUUACUGGGUUUAAAGGGUGCGUAGGCGGGCCCUUAAGUCAGUGGUGAAAGCUCCGAGCUUAACUCGGAAACUGCCAUUGAUACUAUAGGUCUUGAAUUCGGUCGAGGUUGGCGGAAUGUGUCGUGUAGCGGUGAAAUGCGUAGAGAUGUGGAGGACUACCGAUGGCGAAGGCAGCCCCCUGGGAUAACACUGACGCUCAUGCACGAAAGCGUGGGGAGCAAACAGG